GACGAACGCUGGCGGCGUGCCUCAAACAUGCAAGUCGAGCGAGGGUUGGUCGCGGGGCAACUCGCGAUCAACUCGAGCGGCGAACGGGUGAGUAACACGUGGGCAACCUGCCCCACAGACGGGGAUACCCUCGGGAAACCGGGGCUAAUACCCGGUACGCUCCUCGGGCGGCAUCGCCUGGGGAGGGAAGGUCGCAAGACGCUGUGGGAUGGGCCCGCGGCCUAUCAGCUAGUUGGUGGGGUAACGGCCCACCAAGGCGACGACGGGUAGCUGGCCUGAGAGGGUGGUCAGCCACACUGGGACUGAGACACGGCCCAGACUCCUACGGGAGGCAGCAGUUGGGAAUCUUGGGCAAUGGGCGCAAGCCUGACCCAGCGACGCCGCGUGGGGGAUGAAGGCCUUCGGGUCGUAAACCCCUUUUAGGAGGGACGAAGCUGCAAGGUGACGGUACCUCCAGAAAAAGCCCCGGCUAACUACGUGC
RNAcentral lists this ribosomal RNA (481 nucleotides) under uncultured bacterium. RNAcentral's name for it is "bacterial SSU rRNA". It matches the Rfam family "Bacterial small subunit ribosomal RNA", at positions 28 to 508 of the family's 1533-position model. The record is from RNAcentral.